RNAcentral lists this ribosomal RNA (424 nucleotides) under uncultured archaeon. Its description in RNAcentral is "bacterial SSU rRNA". It matches the Rfam family "Archaeal small subunit ribosomal RNA", at positions 576 to 997 of the family's 1478-position model. The record is from RNAcentral.
UGGAGAUACUAUUAGACUUGAGACCGGGAGAGGUUAGAGGUACUCCCAGGGUAGAGGUGAAAUUCUGUAAUCCUGGGAGACCGCCUGUUGCGAAGGCGUCUAACUGGAACGGUUCUGACGGUGAGGGACGAAAGUUUAGGGGCGCGAACCGGAUUAGAUACCCGGGUAGUCCUAACGUGUAAACGAUGCGGACUUGGUGUUGGGGUGGCUUUUGAGCUGCUCCAGUGCCGAAGGGAAGCUGUUAAGUCCGCCGCCUGGGAAGUACGGUCGCAAGACUGAAACUUAAGGAAUUGGCGGGGGAGCACCACAACGCGUGGAGCCUGCCGGUUUAAUUGGAUUCAACGCCGGACAUCUCACCAGAGGCGACAGCUGUAUGAUAGCCAGGUUGAUGACUUUGCUUGACUAGCUGAGGAGAGGUGCAUGG